Molecule: ribosomal RNA, 270 nt
Filed under: uncultured archaeon
Lineage: Archaea
Description: partial 16S ribosomal RNA
Rfam family: Archaeal small subunit ribosomal RNA
Source: RNAcentral
CAGCACCUCAAGUGGUCAGGAUGAUUAUUGGGCCUAAAGCAUCCGUAGCCGGCUCUGUAAGUUUUCGGUUAAAUCUGUACGCUCAACGUACAGGCUGCCGGGAAUACUGCAGAGCUAGGGAGUGGGAGAGGUAGACGGUACUCGGUAGGAAGGGGUAAAAUCCUUUGAUCUAUUGAUGACCACCUGUGGCGAAGGCGGUCUACCAGAACACGUCCGACGGUGAGGGAUGAAAGCUGAGGGAGCAAACCGGAUUAGAGACCCGAGUAGUCC